CCCUGUCUCCCAACCCUUGUACCAGUGCUGUGCCUCAGACCCUGGUACAAGCCUGGGGGAUAGGG
This 65-nucleotide microRNA precursor is filed under the name Mus spretus (western wild mouse). RNAcentral's name for it is "microRNA 150 (ENSMSPG00010046874.1)". It matches the Rfam family "mir-150 microRNA precursor family". Lineage: Eukaryota; Metazoa; Chordata; Mammalia; Rodentia; Muridae. The record is from RNAcentral.